GAUGAACGCUAGCGGCAGGCUUAACACAUGCAAGUCGAGGGGCAGCGCGAUGUAGCAAUACAUUGGCGGCGACCGGCGCACGGGUGCGUAACACGUAUGGAACCUGCCCUGUACUGGGAAAUAACCCGGAGAAAUUCGGACUAAUAUCCCAUAUCGAACGAGGUGGCAUCACCUUGUUCUGAAAGCUCCGGCGGUACAGGAUGGCCAUGCGCACGAUUAGCUAGUUGGUGAGGUAACGGCUCACCAAGGCUACGAUCGUUAGGGGGCCUGAGAGGGUUAUCCCCCACACUGGUACUGAGACACGGACCAGACUCCUACGGGAGGCAGCAGUGAGGAAUAUUGCGCAAUGGAGGCAACUCUGACGCAGCCAUGCCGCGUGCAGGAAGAAGGCGCUACGCGUUGUAAACUGCUUUUAUCCGGGAAGAAACCCCUCUACGUGUGGAGGGUUGACGGUACCGGAGGAAUAAGCACCGGCUAACUUCGUG
This 485-nucleotide ribosomal RNA is filed under the name uncultured bacterium. RNAcentral's name for it is "bacterial SSU rRNA". It matches the Rfam family "Bacterial small subunit ribosomal RNA", at positions 28 to 507 of the family's 1533-position model. The record is from RNAcentral.